CCUACAUGAAGCUGGAAUUGCUAGUAAUCACAGGUCAGCAUACUGUGGUGAAUACGUUCCCGGGCCUUGUACACACCGCCCGUCACACCAUGAGAGUUGAGAAUACCCGAAGCCCAUGUCAAAGUGGUCGAAGGUAGGCUUGGUGAUUGGGGUGAAGUCGUAACAAGGUAAC
Molecule: ribosomal RNA, 172 nt
Filed under: uncultured bacterium
Lineage: Bacteria
Description: partial 16S ribosomal RNA
Rfam family: Bacterial small subunit ribosomal RNA
Source: RNAcentral